RNAcentral lists this ribosomal RNA (253 nucleotides) under uncultured bacterium. RNAcentral's name for it is "partial 16S ribosomal RNA". It matches the Rfam family "Bacterial small subunit ribosomal RNA", at positions 524 to 776 of the family's 1533-position model. The record is from RNAcentral.
UACGUAGGGGGCAAGCGUUGUCCGGAAUUAUUGGGCGUAAAGAGCUCGUAGGCGGUCCUUGAAGUCGGGUGUGAAAUCUCAGGGCUCAACCCUGAAACCGCACCCGAUACUGAAGGACUUGAGGCAGGUAGGGGAAGGUGGAAUUCCUGGUGUAGCGGUGAAAUGCGCAGAUAUCAGGAGGAACACCCGUGGCGAAGGCGGCCUUCUGGGCCUGUUCUGACGCUGAGGAGCGAAAGCGUGGGGAGCAAACAGG